UUUCCGUAGGUGAACCUGCGGAAGGAUCAUUAUUGUAUCCCGAGGUGCGAGGGCUGUCGCUGACCCGAAAGGUCGUGCACGCCCGAGUGCCCUCACACACAUCCAUCUCACCCCUAUGUGCACCACCGCGUGGGUCCCCCUUUGGCUUGUUCGGAGGGGGGCUUACGUUUUCACACAAACUUUGUAUGCAGUGUAGAAUGUAUUUUUUGUUUUUGCGAUCACGCAAUCAAUACAACUUUCAACAACGGAUCUCUUGGCUCUC
RNAcentral lists this unclassified non-coding RNA (262 nucleotides) under plant metagenome. RNAcentral describes it as "partial contains small subunit ribosomal RNA, internal transcribed spacer 1, and 5.8S ribosomal RNA". The record is from RNAcentral.